ACUCAUGGCGGUGGAUCAUUCGGCUUGCAUGCCGAUGAAGAAAGCAUCUAGCUGCGAGAAUUAGUCUGAAUUGCAGGGCACAUUGAUCAUCAACACUUACUCCUGGGGCUACGCUUGCCUCCGUCGCAGGGACCUUGAUUCCUUCAUUCCCCUAAGAUCAGAACCGAUCAGCGCUGUCGCAGGAUCCCUGGACUUGGUGCAGAGGCUUGUUGCCGGUUUAUCCUGGCCUCCACAUUUCCCACUCUUUAGGUCGGAAGGGCCAUUCGCCCGGGGUGCCCAGUGUGGUGAUGGCCCAAAAAGCCAACGCAACUUCCCCGUGAUGGGGACGCUGGCAGUGCCACGUGUGGCUGUCUGUGAUGUUCCAUGACUGCCGGUGUGGGAUGGCCCUGGAGCACAGGCCUAGUAACCGCAUCUGGUGAGAAACCUUUCCGCAGACAGGCUUUGGCCUAUAUCUCCCUGUGGACAGUGCAAACACAUCCGCGCCAGAGGCGUGGGGCACGGGAAACACCCCUACAGCCCCAGACCCAAGGCCGGCUGCCCAAACUUCGGCUCCCGACUACGACCUUAGGUCUGAUAUAGCAGCCAGCUGAAUUUAAGCUAUUAGUAAUUGGAGGAAAAGGAAUUCACCAGUAAUGGCGAGUGAAGCAGAGCCCAGUGCCGAAUCCCCGCCCUGCGGCGGUCAUGGGAACAGUGGCAUAGAGAAGACCGACUCCCUGUCAUUGCUCGGGGGGGCCUAUGCACUUCUGAUUGAGGCUGACCCCACGGACGGUGUUAGGCCGGUGGCAGCCCGCGAUGCACUGUGAUCGGGUCUUAUCGGAGUCAGAGGAUGGCAACCCCUGCUCCCGGUGGGACUGUUGACUGAUGUGGACUGUCCUCAGUGCCCUUCAACUGCAUCAUGCCGCUGGGCAGAGAGGAUCAUGGAGGGCACCAGGGGUCUGCGGUAAUGUCAGUUACCACCCAACCCGCCUUGAAACACUGACCAAGGAAUCUAGCAUGUGCACAAGUCGGAGGGCAGAAUGAAAUCAUGUGGCGCAACAAAGGUGAGGGUCGGAGCACACAAGCUGAGUUGAGAUCCCAUCACAGCGUUCUGGUGGGCGCACCAACGGCCCAUCUCACCCGCUCUGUUGCAGAGGUGGAGCAUGAGCAUGUGUGAUAGGACCCGAAAGAUGGUAAAAUAUGCCUGGGCAGGUUGAAGCCAGAGGAAACUCUGGUGGAGGUCCAUAGUAUUCCUGAUGUGCAAAUAGGUCGUCUGACCUGGUUAGGGGCAAAAGACUAAUUAAACCAUCUACUAGUGUCUCUUGAAAUUUCAGUUUUAUCUUGUAAAGCGAAUGAUUAGAAGUGCUGGCCCAAAACUAUCUCAACCUAUUUUCAAACUUUAAAUGGGUAAGAAGCCCAACUCGCUGGCAUGGAGCGGGGAAUUGAAUGAGAGUGCCCAGAGUCGUUACUUUUGGUAAGUGGACUGGUGCUGUGGGAUGAACCAAAUGCUGGGUUAAGGCGCCCAAUGCCGACGCUCAUCAGACCCCAGAAAAGGUGUUGGUUGAUGUAGACAGCAGGACAGUGGCUAUGAAAGUCCUAAUCUGCUAAGGAGUGUGUAACAACAGAACUGCCGAAUCAACUAACACUGAAAAUGGAUGGUAUGGACUGUUUAAUUAAAACAAAGCAUUGAAAAGGCCUGCAGUGGGUGUUGACGUGAUGUGAUUUCUGGCCAGUGCUCUGAAUGAAAGAAAUUCAAUGAAGCAGAGGAAAACGACAGGAGUAACUAUGACUCUCUUAAAGUAGCCAAAUGUCUCGUCAUCUAGUUGGUGAUGCAGAAUGAAUGGAUGAACGAGAUUCCCACUAUCCCUACAUACUAUCUAGAGAAACCACAACCAAGUGAACAGGCUUGGCAGAGUCAGGGGAGAAAGAAGACACUGUUGAACUUGAGUCUAGUCUGGCAUUGUGAAGAGACAUGAAAGGUGUAGGAUAAGUGGGAGGCCCUCGGGUCACCGGUGAAAUACCACUUUUGUUAUAAUUCUAAGGGACGCACCCUGGGACAGUGGCAGGUUGGGAGUUUGACUGGGGCGGUACACCUGUCAAACAAUAAUACAAGUGUCCUAAGGUAAGCUCAGGGAGAACAGACACCUCCUGCAGAACAGAAGUACAAAAGCUUACUUGAUCUCGAUUUUCAGUAUGACUACAGACCGUGAAAGCGGGGCCUCACAAUCUUUUUGACUUUUGGGGUUUCAAGCAGGAGGUGUCAGAAAAGUUACCGUAGGGAUAACUGGCUUGUGGAAGCCACGCGUUCAUAGGAACAUUGCUUUUUUGUUGUUGAUUCUUCCUAUUAUUGUGAAGCAGAAUUCAUCAAACGUUGGAUUGUUCACCCACUUAUAAGGAAUGUGAGCUGUGUUUAGACCACUGUGAGACACGUUAGUUUUACUCUACUGAUGAUGUGUUGUUGGAAUAGUAAUCCUGCUCAGUACGAAAGGAAACGCAGGUUCAGACAUUUCGUCUAUGUGCUUGGCUGAGGAGCCAAUGGGGCAAAGGUACCAUCUGUGGGAUUAUAACUGAACGGCUCGAAGUCAGAAUCCCCACUAAACAGUAAUGACACCACAGCGCUGUGGAGCAUUGGUUUGCCUAGGAUAGCUGCCUUGAGGCCAGUGCAUAGAGCUGCUCACCUCAGGACUCAAGUGUGUAAAGA
RNAcentral lists this ribosomal RNA (2677 nucleotides) under Ambystoma mexicanum (axolotl). RNAcentral's name for it is "eukaryotic LSU rRNA". The stretch from base 560 to 2677 matches the Rfam family "Eukaryotic large subunit ribosomal RNA". The record is from RNAcentral. Lineage: Eukaryota; Metazoa; Chordata; Amphibia; Caudata; Ambystomatidae.